AAGAGGAACGUUUUUUUUUUUUUUUUAAGUUUAAACGAUUAAAAUUACUUAUUAGGUGAGUUUCCUUUGGUAUAAGGAGCUUAGGAGAAUAAUUUUAAGUAAAGAUUCUCGAAACUCUAAGAUCUUUAUAAGUAUAUGUUGGCUGUAAGUAGUCUAUUUAAUUUUAUAAAGUGGUGAAAGGUUAUCGAUUAGGGUUUAUUAGUUUUUUGGGUAGUUCAGUUAAGUUGAAUCUGGUCAAUAAGUUGGUGUAGAAAAAUUUUAAGGAUUAGAAGUGUCUUGGUGUUACUACCUGUUGUUUAGGUAUAUUAAUUUGUGUGAGUGUUUGAUUUUAAAAGAAAAUAAUUUAAUUUUCUUUUUAUAAUCUAAGUAUAAGUAUUUGUUAGUUAAAAGUGGAUUUAAGUAGGUUGUCUUGUUGAAAUAAUAAUUCUCGCGAAUGUUUAUUAAAAACAUUUCCUGUUUAAUAAUAGGUAAGCCCUGCUCAAUGAUUUUUUAAUAGCCGCGGUAAAUUGACUGUGCUAAGGUAGCGUAAUCAUUAGUCUUUUAAUUAAGGUCUAGAAUGAAUGGGUAAACGACGGGGUAAGGUGAUAAGGCAAUUAAAUGAACUUAUAGUUUAGGUGAAAAUACCUAAUGGUAAAUUAAAGACGGAAAGACCCUGGAAGUUUUAUAAAAAGAAUUAUUUCAUUGGGGUAAUGGUUGAAGCUUAGGUUUUAAUUAUAUAGAAAAAUUACUCCAGGGAUAACAGGACAAUUCAAAAGGUUAGUUCUUAUAUAUUUUUGAGUUUGUUACCUCGAUGUUGGAUCAUCUCUUCUCAAGGUGUAUUUGGGUAAAGGUCUGUUCGACCUAAAAGAGUUACGUGAUCUGAGUUUAGAUCGGUGUGAGCCAGAUCGGAUCUUAUCUUGAAAGAUUUUUAGGUGGUACGAAAGGAUGCCUAGAAAGCAAUAAUUGUUAU
Molecule: ribosomal RNA, 949 nt
Filed under: Moniliformis sp. XH-2020
Lineage: Eukaryota; Metazoa; Acanthocephala; Archiacanthocephala; Moniliformida; Moniliformidae
Description: 16S ribosomal RNA
Rfam family: Bacterial large subunit ribosomal RNA (bases 607-949)
Source: RNAcentral